GGGGGAACCCCAUAAAGACGUGUAAACCUGUUUCCGUGGAAAGGUCACAGACAAUUCACUUUCAAUUCAACUCAAACAAAGCUUUGUGCAUUAUUUUCACAGUCAAAAUAAAUCAAUCCAGCAUUUUUUUUUAUAAAUGUAAGUUGUUAUUUCCACUGUGGAGUAAAGGAGCUGUGGGUAAACUGACUCCAUGUUGCACAGCAGCUGUGAGAUGGAUUGUUUUCCAGAGCAUCACCUCCAUAUGGAAUAAUAGGAUGUCUGCAUAACGGAAGGUGAGUUUUCUGCACAAUGUUGGCUCUAUAUAUGUAGAGCUACGCCCUGUAGCCCUUUGGGGAUACACUAUGCUAGUUAUGUUUGGAAAAAAAUUACCUCAUGCAAUGUGAUUUGAAAGGCAUUACAACAAUUCAUUGAUAAACGAUUAUGCUUUAAUAUACAUGUCUGCAAUACAUAGUCAUAGUAUACAAGCUUUAUUCUAUUUUUGACUAAAUCUAUUGAAAAUGACAAAGUGAAAGAGAAAGCAGAAACGAAAGUUUUUUUACAACAAUGAUCUACACUCUCAGCUGGAUGAUCGUCUUUUUCUUUGUCUUUUCUUUCUUUAUUAAGAUCGGAAUAAUAACGUAUAUAAGCAUUCAUACUUAGCGACAGGCAAAUAUUUCGCUGUAAGAUUGUUUUGUCAUAUUUAAAUGGCUACUCCCAGAACAGGCAUUUGUUAGUGCGAUCUGCGCAGUUGGUCAAAGUGUAUAAAAAACGCCAUAUCAUGAACCGCCGCUAGAUGUCGCCAGAUACGCCCGACUCGUGGGCAACAUGUGUGUCUUAUAUCUUCCGUGAUUAUUCACAUUUAUUUCCAAAAAUAUCUUUAAGCUAAUGUAUAUCUUAAUGGAUAAGUGUGUCCAUAUCAAAGACGUGCUGUAGUUAAUAACAAAUGUAAGGAUACUGGUUACUUUUAAGUUUUUCUCAUCUGUAUUUAUCUGAUCGCUGACACUUUGCACUAAGUUUGCAACUAAAAAGUGGAAAGUACAUUUAAGCUACUCCUACUUUCAUAUUUACAGUUUGUGCUACUUUAUGCCUCUACUCUUCUACAUUUCAGAGGGAAAUAUGUUUUAUUUUACUCAUUGCGUCACUCAUUGAGUCCUUCUUCCACCACUGAUCCAAAACAUGAAAUUAUCUAAAGAAAUAUAAAAUAAAUAUCAACAGUAAUUUGAAAGUUUAAACUACCUAAAAUAAUACAAAACUACAUCUAUUUGAUAACUUUAAUUACUAUUUACCAGUGGUGGAAUGUGACUCAAUACAUUUACUCAAGUACUUAAGUACAAUUUUGAGGUAUUUGUACUUUACUAUUUCUAUUUUAUGCUACUUUAUACUUCAACUCCACUACAUUUAUUUGACAAGAUUACUUUCCUGUUACUUUGCAGAUUCAUAUUAUUAAUACAACAUGUAAAUCAACUAAUAAAUGAUGAUCUAAUAUUAUAGAUUAAACUAUCCAAAAGUAUUAAAUAUGAAAUAUAAGUUGAAAUGUUCUCCAACUUUAUCAGCUGCAACAUGUGUGAUGCUUACAUGCAUCACUACCACAUAAUGGUAUUAUAUAAUGUAUAAUAUAUAUUAUUCUGAAAUGGGCAC
Long non-coding RNA from Cottoperca gobio, 1617 nucleotides. Lineage: Eukaryota; Metazoa; Chordata; Actinopteri; Perciformes; Bovichtidae. The record is from Ensembl.